Molecule: ribosomal RNA, 541 nt
Filed under: Saccharomyces cerevisiae (brewer's yeast)
Lineage: Eukaryota; Fungi; Ascomycota; Saccharomycetes; Saccharomycetales; Saccharomycetaceae
Description: eukaryotic LSU rRNA
Rfam family: Eukaryotic large subunit ribosomal RNA
Source: RNAcentral
CGGCGAGUGAAGCGGCAAAAGCUCAAAUUUGAAAUCUGGUACCUUCGGUGCCCGAGUUGUAAUUUGGAGAGGGCAACUUUGGGGCCGUUCCUUGUCUAUGUUCCUUGGAACAGGACGUCAUAGAGGGUGAGAAUCCCGUGUGGCGAGGAGUGCGGUUCUUUGUAAAGUGCCUUCGAAGAGUCGAGUUGUUUGGGAAUGCAGCUCUAAGUGGGUGGUAAAUUCCAUCUAAAGCUAAAUAUUGGCGAGAGACCGAUAGCGAACAAGUACAGUGAUGGAAAGAUGAAAAGAACUUUGAAAAGAGAGUGAAAAAGUACGUGAAAUUGUUGAAAGGGAAGGGCAUUUGAUCAGACAUGGUGUUUUGUGCCCUCUGCUCCUUGUGGGUAGGGGAAUCUCGCAUUUCACUGGGCCAGCAUCAGUUUUGGUGGCAGGAUAAAUCCAUAGGAAUGUAGCUUGCCUCGGUAAGUAUUAUAGCCUGUGGGAAUACUGCCAGCUGGGACUGAGGACUGCGACGUAAGUCAAGGAUGCUGGCAUAAUGGUUAUA